ACAAAGCAAAAGUAUUUGGCUUCAGUGGAAGGUGCUGUUCUGUGAGGAAAGCUUUGUGCUCAAGCUAUUGUACAGGAUUAUGAGUUGCUCGUUGCUCGGGGCCAAAGAAGGUUGGCUCAAGCAAGUCUUUUUUGAGAGAAAACCUUUGCGGGGUAAAUUUUGCCAUGGUUCUUGAGGAUUAUUCAAAGAAUAGUGUUGGCUUGUGGAUCAAUGAUAUGCCCACAUGAAGGAUAUAUUUUCUGCUGUCAGAGCGGAUAAUAUGCCAUUAUAACAUAUCUGGGCUGUCUGGUACUAGAUCUUUAAUUUCUGCUUAGAGAAUCUUGUUUUCUUCUUGGUUUUACUUGUAUGAUACCUAUAUAUCUUGCUUCAAGUGUACAUAAUUUAUUCUUAAAAAAUAUAUCUGAAAUACAAUGGAAUCAAGGAGAAAGCAUACACAUUUGGUUCAGCUUGUAUACUUGACCUUAUGUACCUUACUUCGUUUCAGCGGGAUGCAAUGGAUAAGAUUUCCGGAAAA
Juglans regia (Persian walnut) is the source of this 514-nucleotide long non-coding RNA. RefSeq lists it as uncharacterized. The record is from RefSeq and is a predicted model, not a curated record. Lineage: Eukaryota; Viridiplantae; Streptophyta; Magnoliopsida; Fagales; Juglandaceae. The transcript is spliced from 2 exons.